This is a long non-coding RNA of Panicum virgatum (switchgrass), 1208 nucleotides long. RefSeq lists it as uncharacterized. The transcript is spliced from 5 exons. The record is from RefSeq and is a predicted model, not a curated record. NCBI's taxonomy places the organism in Eukaryota, Viridiplantae, Streptophyta, Magnoliopsida, Poales, Poaceae.
UUCACCUUCACAGCGGAGUAUCUAUUCCCAUCAUUUGUCUCGGAUAUACCUUUUGUUAUGUGAAUUUUAGGACUGUUAUCUUAUUCAUAUUCUGAAUGAGACGCGAGAGAGCAUGAUCAUGAUCUUUGUGCGCACUGAACCUACUAGGCUCUUUGUUCUCAUGCUACGGAAUCUUGGUUUGAAAGCUAUGUCUAGCAGUGGCCAAAUGAGUCAGGUUUACUUUCUUUGACUUAAAUGUCACACACAUACAGUUAGAUGAUUAUUCCAUUUAGUUGGCUAAUCCUCUGUAAGGAUAAGUGGCUGGGUGCUUUGAACAGGUUUUCUUUAUUUCUUCCCUUUACUCUCUAAUUUUUUGGUCUAUUUUCUUUGUCAGGAUAAGAGGUUGGGUGCUUUGAACAGGUUCAGAGCGAAAGAUUGCAACAUCCUUAUUUGCACUGACGUGGCAUGUCGUGGUCCUGACAUUCAAGGAGUCCAUAUGGUCACCUACUAUGAUAUUCCAAUGAAUUCUAAGGAUUAUGUUCAUCGAUUGGGUAGGACUGCACGUGCAGGGAGAUCAGGAUACGCUGUAUCUUUGUGAAUAAAUAUGAAGGCCAAUGGUUUGUGAUAAUUGAGCAGCUACUUGGUAAUAGCAGCUUUCCUUCUUGCCCCCUCUUUACUUUUUGCUUGCCGAUUUGCAUGCAUAACUGGAGAUGGUCUCUUUCCAAAGCCUGCCUCUCAUUGACUAUGUUUUGCAAGCAAGAAAAUUGACCAGUGUAAGGUGGACCCAGAUGAAAUCAUGAUACUUAAAGAGCCCAUAUUAGAUGCAAAGAGAAUAGCUCUAACGAAAAUGAAUCGGGAUUGUCCAUACAUGACAGGAUGGCUUGGACAUGAUGACUCAGAAAAACAGACAAGAGCUCAAGCAUCCAAACCUUCGCUCAUCGUUUUUAGAAGCAGGAUGGAGGGUAUGUGCAGAAAUAUCAUCAAACAGGCUGCUGAUUGGGUUCAUUAAAGAGCCGAUUUUGGUAUCAAAUGUGAAGGUCAGUACCAUGAAGCCAACAAGAUAGGCCAUCUUUUCAAAAUUGGAAACACCGUGUUAAUUAAUUAAAGUGCUACUUAGCCUACCGUCAAUGUGCUGAUGUACUUAUGUCCUGACAAAGUUUUGGUUCUUCUGAGCAUGCUGUUGGUGAACUACUUUUACUACCUUUCCUUACUAUUAUGAUGUACCAGAA